UGCCCCACUAGUCUGGGAUACCACUUGGAAACAGGUGCUAAUACCGGAUAAGAAAGCGGAUCGCAUGAUCAGCUUUUAAAAGGCGGCGUAAGCUGUCGCUAUGGGAUGGCCCCGCGGUGCAUUAGCUAGUUGGUAAGGUAAAGGCUUACCAAGGCGAUGAUGCAUAGCCGAGUUGAGAGACUGAUCGGCCACAUUGGGACUGAGACACGGCCCAAACUCCUACGGGAGGCAGCAGCG
Molecule: ribosomal RNA, 237 nt
Filed under: uncultured Lactobacillus sp.
Lineage: Bacteria; Bacillati; Bacillota; Bacilli; Lactobacillales; Lactobacillaceae
Description: partial 16S ribosomal RNA
Rfam family: Bacterial small subunit ribosomal RNA
Source: RNAcentral